GCCCUGGUAGCUCAGAGGAUAGAGCAACUGCCUUCUAAGCAGUGGGUCGUGGGUUCGAUCCCCGCCCGGGGCGCCA
Molecule: transfer RNA, 76 nt
Filed under: Lentisphaerota bacterium
Lineage: Bacteria; Pseudomonadati; Lentisphaerota
Also listed under: 1 other name
Description: Lentisphaerae bacterium (feces metagenome) tRNA-Arg
Rfam family: tRNA
About the family: Transfer RNA (tRNA) molecules are approximately 80 nucleotides in length. Their secondary structure includes four short double-helical elements and three loops (D, anti-codon, and T loops). Further hydrogen bonds mediate the characteristic L-shaped molecular structure. tRNAs have two regions of fundamental functional importance: the anti-codon, which is responsible for specific mRNA codon recognition, and the 3' end, to which the tRNAs corresponding amino acid is attached (by aminoacyl-tRNA synthetases). tRNAs cope with the degeneracy of the genetic code in two manners: having more than one tRNA (with a specific anti-codon) for a particular amino acid; and 'wobble' base-pairing, i.e. permitting non-standard base-pairing at the 3rd anti-codon position.
Source: RNAcentral